CAUGCCGCGUGAGUGAAGAAGGCCUUCGGGUUGUAAAGCUCUUUUGUCAGGGAAGAAACACCGGCUCUAACACAGUCCGGGAAUGACGGUACCUGAAGAAUAAGCACCGGCUAACUACGUGCCAGCAGCCGCGGUAAUACGUAGGGUGCGAGCGUUAAUCGGAAUUACUGGGCGUAAAGCGUGCGCAGGCGGUUAUACAAGACAGGCGUGAAAUCCCCGGGCUUAACCUGGGAAUGGCGCCUGUGACUGUAUAGCUAGAGUGUGUCAGAGGGGGGUAGAAUUCCACGUGUAGCAGUGAAAUGCGUAGAUAUGUGGAGGAAUACCAAUGGCGAAGGCAGCCCCCUGGGAUAACACUGACGCUCAUGCACGAAAGCGUGGGGAGCAAACAGGAUUAGAUACCCUGGUAGUCCACGCCCUAAACGAUGCUGACUAGUUGUUCGGGAUUUACAUCCUGAGUAACGUAGCUAACGCGUGAAGUCAGCCGCCUGGGGAGUACGGUCGCAAGAUUAAAACUCAAAGGAAUUGACGGGGACCCGCACAAGCGGUGGACGAUGUGGAUUAAUUCGAUGCAACGCGAAAAAGCUUACCUACCCUUGACAUGUCACUAACGAAGUAGAGAUACAUUAGGUGCUCGUAAGAGAAAGU
RNAcentral lists this ribosomal RNA (645 nucleotides) under uncultured bacterium. RNAcentral's name for it is "bacterial SSU rRNA". It matches the Rfam family "Bacterial small subunit ribosomal RNA", at positions 393 to 1029 of the family's 1533-position model. The record is from RNAcentral.